Molecule: long non-coding RNA, 850 nt
Organism: Mastomys coucha (southern multimammate mouse)
Lineage: Eukaryota; Metazoa; Chordata; Mammalia; Rodentia; Muridae
Exons: 2
Source: RefSeq, a predicted model, not a curated record
CCUCCAGGACUGUCAUAGAUCCAGAGCAGGCCACACUUAAGGUGCCAGAGUCUCUGUGUGUGAGUACACCUCAUGUCCCAUGUGGACUGAGAGAAGAGAGAGAAAACGAAAAGGAACAGAGUACCUGUACACGCAUGGCCUGGUUUCAGGGAUGGCUACACGUGGCUCUGCCCCCGUAAGUCCCCUGCUCCUGUGGAGGGACUGUGCUGACGGACCACUGUGCAGCAAAGGGGAGCCUCAUUCAUCCAUCAAGAGACCGGCUUUUCCUCUUGCUCCAACACCAGACAGAAUUUAUUCCACAUUGGAGUGGAAACUGGUGUGUGUUUCUUGGCCAUAAGCUUGCUGGGAUGAGAGUUCCCUGGGGGUCCAAACCUGUUUUAUGUUUUUUGCCUCUUUCUCCUAGUCCAGGGUGCUCACAGACUCCUGGAACGAGAGUUAAAAAUGUGAACUUGUUCUACACAAGAUCAUCUGAAGUUUGGCUGUGAAGGUUUUAGAGAUCUUCAUAUCUCGAUACAGAUACCGCAUGCUUACAUGCACAUAUGGGCACAUGCUUAAAUAUGCACAUACAGGGAGCCUGUUGAUUGUCAUGCAUCAACUAGUAGAAACAGACCCUCCUGUUAGUUUAGCUUUUUGAUGGGUCUAAAAUGAUGAAAUUCUGUUACUAUUUUAAAUUUUGAAGUCUGGAGAGAUGGCUCGGUGAUUAAGGUCACCUCCGCAUCCCUGUCACUCAGCUCAGAACAGCAGGUAACUUCAGCGCCCUCUUCUGGCCUCUACGGGCAUCUGCACUCGAGUGUACGUAAACAUAUGCAUAAUUUAAAAAUAAAAAUAAAUGUGUUCGAAAAUUCUGAAA